GACGAACGCUGGCGGCGUGCCUAAUACAUGCAAGUAGAACGAGUUGCGAACGGGUGAGUAACGCGUGGUAACCUGCCUCAUAGCGGGGGAUAACUAUUGGAAACAGGUGCUAAUACCGCAUAUUGAUGGAUGGACCCGCGGUGCAUUAGCUAGUUGGCGAGGUAACGGCUCACCAAGGCCACGAUGCAUAGCCGGCCUGAGAGGGUGAUCGGCAACACUGGAACUGAGACACGGUCCAGACUCCUACGGGAGGCAGCAGUGGGGAAUAUUGCACAAUGGGCGCAAGCCUGAUGCAGCCAUGCCGCGUGUAUGAAGAAGGCCUUCGGGUUGUAAAGUACUUUCAGCGGGGAGGCGUUACCCGCAGAAGAAGCACCGGCUAACUCCGUGCCAGCCGCCGCGGUAAUAC
This 406-nucleotide ribosomal RNA is filed under the name uncultured bacterium. RNAcentral's name for it is "partial 16S ribosomal RNA". It matches the Rfam family "Bacterial small subunit ribosomal RNA", at positions 28 to 526 of the family's 1533-position model. The record is from RNAcentral.